Molecule: ribosomal RNA, 245 nt
Filed under: uncultured Solitalea sp.
Lineage: Bacteria; Pseudomonadati; Bacteroidota; Sphingobacteriia; Sphingobacteriales; Sphingobacteriaceae
Description: partial 16S ribosomal RNA
Rfam family: Bacterial small subunit ribosomal RNA
Source: RNAcentral
UACGAAGGAUUCGAGCGUUAUCCGGAUUUAUUGGGUUUAAAGGGUGCGUAGGUGGACUAAUAAGUCAGUGGUGAAAGCCCGCAGCUUAACUGCGGAACUGCCAUUGAUACUGUUAGUCUUGAGUACAGUUGAGGUGGGCGGAAUGUGUCAUGUAGCGGUGAAAUGCUUAGAUAUGACACAGAACACCGAUUGCGAAGGCAGCUCACUAAGCUGUAACUGACACUGAGGCACGAAAGUGUGGGUAG